GACAGAGGUGCCAAGCGUUAGGCGGAAUCACUGGGCUUAAAGCGUGUGUAGGUGGAUGCCUAAGUACCUUGUGAAAUCCCACGGCUCAACCGUGGAACUGCUCGGUAUACUGGGUGUCUUGAGCCACUUAGGGGCUACCGGAACAAAUGGUGGAGCGGUGAAAUGCGUAGAUAUCGCUUGGAACGCCGACGGUGAAAACAGCUCGCUGGGGAUUCGCUGACGCUGAGACACGAAAGCCAGGGGAGCAAACGGG
RNAcentral lists this ribosomal RNA (253 nucleotides) under uncultured bacterium. Its description in RNAcentral is "partial 16S ribosomal RNA". It matches the Rfam family "Bacterial small subunit ribosomal RNA", at positions 524 to 776 of the family's 1533-position model. The record is from RNAcentral.